CCGGUACCGGUCCUCUCAGCGGCGCCGUUUAGUAGAAAAGGAACAAGGAACGGAGCUCCCCGGCUUGACACCACAGGGACGUCAGGUGACUCCCGGCCGCUGCCAAACCCCCGCCCACCAACAUGGCAGUCACGUGUCACCCACAGUGAUGUGACACAUUACCGCCGCAGGAAGUCAUUGGUUGCAGCGGUGACAUGACGUAGAUGGUCACGUUACAUGAAGGCACCAGCGAUGCACGAGGGGGAGCAAUGGAGCUGGAACGCAGCAGACAAGUAUGCUCACCACAUUCUUUCCACAUAAGAAUGGAGGACCACCUUGAAGAGGAAGGUGAUGAGUCUGCACCACACCAUUCGAGCACCUGUGAGGAGGAAAGUGAAGACUACAUCUGGCCCACCUGCAGAAAGUGCGGAGACAUCCACAACAUCAAAAGCCAUGCGUUCCUCUACCUCUGGACAGGGUCGUCGUCCCCCACUUUGUCCAUAAGCAGCUGGCCCAGAAGACGCCCCAUGUAGGAGGACCAUUUGGACCAUUUUGCAAAAAGUCUGGAGCAUCAUUUGAGGAGUGUGCCACAACACCUUUUGCUGAGAACUGAGGCGGCUCUUGGCAUUGUUGUGGAUGCUGCCAUUCCUCCUCAUGAUCCGUCAGACAUAUUUUUUGCCCUGGAAAAUUGGAGAUCAUAUGGGCACAUGUCUGGCCCCCAGCCAAUUUCCCAGGUUCCACAGGGGCCGCCACAAUACUUAUGAUUACU
This is a long non-coding RNA of Bufo gargarizans (Asiatic toad), 748 nucleotides long. RefSeq lists it as uncharacterized. The transcript is spliced from 3 exons. The record is from RefSeq and is a predicted model, not a curated record. NCBI's taxonomy places the organism in Eukaryota, Metazoa, Chordata, Amphibia, Anura, Bufonidae.